AUUGAACGCUGGCGGCAGGCCUAACACAUGCAAGUCGAGCGGAUGAAGGGAGCUUGCUCCUGGAUUCAGCGGCGGACGGGUGAGUAAUGCCUAGGAAUCUGCCUGGUAGUGGGGGAUAACGUCCGGAAACGGGCGCUAAUACCGCAUACGUCCUGAGGGAGAAAGUGGGGGAUCUUCGGACCUCACGCUAUCAGAUGAGCCUAGGUCGGAUUAGCUAGUUGGUGGGGUAAAGGCCUACCAAGGCGACGAUCCGUAACUGGUCUGAGAGGAUGAUCAGUCACACUGAAACUGAGACGCGGUCCAGACUCCUGCGGGAGGCAGCAGUGGAGAAUAGUAGACAGUGGGCGAAAGCCUGAUACAGCCAUGCCGCGUGUGUAGAGGAGGUCUUCGGAUUGUAAAGCACUUUAAGUGGAGGAAAAGGGCAGUAAGUUAAUACCGUGCCGUUGAGACGUUACAAACAGAAUGAGCACCGGCAAACCGCG
RNAcentral lists this ribosomal RNA (482 nucleotides) under uncultured bacterium. RNAcentral's name for it is "partial 16S ribosomal RNA". It matches the Rfam family "Bacterial small subunit ribosomal RNA", at positions 30 to 505 of the family's 1533-position model. The record is from RNAcentral.